Molecule: non-coding RNA, 45 nt
Filed under: Schistosoma haematobium
Lineage: Eukaryota; Metazoa; Platyhelminthes; Trematoda; Strigeidida; Schistosomatidae
Source: RNAcentral
AUCCAGCUGACGAGUCUUAAAUAGGAUGAAAAAGGCAUCCUGGAU